RNAcentral lists this non-coding RNA (29 nucleotides) under Cricetulus griseus (Chinese hamster). Lineage: Eukaryota; Metazoa; Chordata; Mammalia; Rodentia; Cricetidae. The record is from RNAcentral.
ACCAUCAUUGAUGCCCCAGGACACAGAGA